AGUGAACGCUGGCGGUAGGCCUAACACAUGCAAGUCGAACGGCAGCACAGUAAGAGCUUGCUCUUACGGGUGGCGAGUGGCGGACGGGUGAGGAAUACAUCGGAAUCUACUUUUUCGUGGGGGAUAACGUAGGGAAACUUACGCUAAUACCGCAUACGACCUACGGGUGAAAGCAAGGGAUCUUCGGACCUUGCGCGAUUGAAUGAGCCGAUGUCGGAUUAGCUAGUUGGCGGGGUAAAGGCCCACCAAGGCGACGAUCCGUAGCUGGUCUGAGAGGAUGAUCAGCCACACUGGAACUGAGACACGGUCCAGACUCCUACGGGAGGCAGCAGUGGGGAAUAUUGGACAAAGGGCGCAAGCCUGAUCCAGCCAUACCGCGUGGGUGAAGAAGGCCUUCGGGUUGUAAAGCCCUUUUGUUGGGAAAGAAAAGCAGCAGGUUAAUACCCCGCUGUUCUGACGGUACCCAAAGAAUAAGCACCGGCUAACUACGUG
This 492-nucleotide ribosomal RNA is filed under the name uncultured bacterium. RNAcentral describes it as "partial 16S ribosomal RNA". It matches the Rfam family "Bacterial small subunit ribosomal RNA", at positions 29 to 507 of the family's 1533-position model. The record is from RNAcentral.